This 461-nucleotide ribosomal RNA is filed under the name Lactiplantibacillus plantarum. RNAcentral describes it as "bacterial SSU rRNA". It matches the Rfam family "Bacterial small subunit ribosomal RNA", at positions 55 to 492 of the family's 1533-position model. The record is from RNAcentral. Lineage: Bacteria; Bacillati; Bacillota; Bacilli; Lactobacillales; Lactobacillaceae.
AUGCAAGUCGAACGCUUCUUUUUCACCGGAGCUUGCUCCACCGGAAAAAGAGGGUGGCAAACGGGUGAGUAACACGUGGGUAACCUGCCCAUCAUAAGGGGAUAACACUUGGAAACAGGUGCUAAUACCGUAUAACAGUCAAAACCGCAUGGUUUUGAUUUGAAAGGCUCUUUCGGGUGUCGCUGAUGGAUGGACCCUCGGUGCAUUAGCUAGUUGGUGAGGUAACAGCUCACCAAGGCCACGAUACAUAACCGACCUGACAGGGUGAUCGGCCACAUUGGGACUGAGACACGGCCCAAACUCCUACGGGAGGGAGCAGUAGGGAAUCUUCGAUAUGGACGAAAGUCUGACCGACCAACGCCGCGUGAGUGAAGAAGGUUUUCGGAUCGUAAAACUCUGUUGUUAAGAAGAACAAGGAUGAUGUAACUGCCCAUCCCUUGACGGUAUCUAACCAGAAAGAC